This 403-nucleotide ribosomal RNA is filed under the name uncultured dinoflagellate. Its description in RNAcentral is "partial small subunit ribosomal RNA". It matches the Rfam family "Eukaryotic small subunit ribosomal RNA", at positions 30 to 432 of the family's 1831-position model. The record is from RNAcentral. Lineage: Eukaryota; Dinophyceae.
GCUUGUCUCAAAGAUUAAGCCAUGCAUGUCUCAGUAUAAGUUCCUGUACGGCGAAACUGCGAAUGGCUCAUUAAAACAGUUAUAGUUUAUUUGAUGGUCGUUCCUUACAUGGAUAACUGUGGUAAUUCUAGAGCUAAUACAUGCACCCAUGCCCGACUUUGUGGAAGGGUUGUGUUUAUUAGUUACAGAACCAACCCAGGCUCUGCCUGGUCUUGUGGUGAUUCAUAAUAACCGAACGAAUCGCAUGGCUCACGCCGGCGAUAAAUCAUUCAAGUUUCUGACCUAUCAGCUUCCGACGGUAGGGUAUUGGCCUACCGUGGCUAUGACGGGUAACGGGGAAUUAGGGUUCGAUUCCGGAGAGGGAGCCUGAGAAACGGCUACCACAUCCAAGGAAGGCAGCAGG